This 468-nucleotide ribosomal RNA is filed under the name uncultured bacterium. RNAcentral describes it as "partial 16S ribosomal RNA". It matches the Rfam family "Bacterial small subunit ribosomal RNA", at positions 28 to 507 of the family's 1533-position model. The record is from RNAcentral.
GACGAACGCUGGCGGCGUGCUUAACACAUGCAAGUCGAACGGAAAGGCCCUGCUUUUGUGGGGUGCUCGAGUGGCGAACGGGUGAGUAACACGUGAGUAACCUGCCCUUGACUUUGGGAUAACUUCAGGAAACUGGGGCUAAUACCGGAUAGGAGCUCCUGCUGCAUGGUGGGGGUUGGAAAGUUUCGGCGGUUGGGGAUGGACUCGCGGCUUAUCAGCUUGUUGGUUGGGUAGUGGCUUACCAAGGCUUUGACGGGUAGCCGGCCUGAGAGGGUGACCGGCCACAUUGGGACUGAGAGACGGCCCAGACUCCUACGGGAGGCAGCAGUGGGGAAUAUUGCACAAUGGGCGGAAGCCUGAUGCAGCAACGCCGCGUGCGGGAUGACGGCCUUCGGGUUGUAAACCGCUUUCGCCUGUGACGAAGCGUGAGUGACGGUAAUGGGUAAAGAAGCACCGGCUAACUACGUG